RNAcentral lists this ribosomal RNA (253 nucleotides) under uncultured bacterium. RNAcentral describes it as "partial 16S ribosomal RNA". It matches the Rfam family "Bacterial small subunit ribosomal RNA", at positions 524 to 776 of the family's 1533-position model. The record is from RNAcentral.
UACGUAGGUGGCAAGCGUUAUCCGGAAUUACUGGGCGUAAAGCGCACGCAGGCGGUUGGACAAGUUCGACGUGAAAGCUCCCGGCUUAACUGGGAGAGGUCGUUGAAGACUGUUUGACUUGAGGUCAUGAGAGGGGUGUAGAAUUCCCGGAGUAGUGGUGGAAUGCGUAGAUAUCGGGGGGAAUACCAGUGGCGAAAGCGGCACCCUAGCAUGAACCUGACGCUCAGGUGCGAAAGCGUGGGGAGCGAACGGG